Tachyglossus aculeatus (Australian echidna) is the source of this 138-nucleotide small nucleolar RNA. The record is from RefSeq and is a predicted model, not a curated record. Lineage: Eukaryota; Metazoa; Chordata; Mammalia; Monotremata; Tachyglossidae.
CCCCUCCCAGGAUCGCACCUGGAGAGUUUCCAGUACUCUAUGAGUUUCGACUAUGGGAGGGAGAGUCAGGCAGAAGCAUAUCCAUUCCAUUCCUAGCUUGGGCAGUGGUUAGUGAGUGGAACGCAAUCUGCUACAAGU